CAAAGCUGUGGAGAUAUAGUGGAGGUUAUCAUGGAGACAGGUGGUGCAUGGUUGUCGUCAGCUCGUGUCGUGAGAUGUUGGGUUAAGUCCCGCAACGAGCGCAACCCUUAUUGCUAGUUACCAUCAUUAAGUUGGGGGACUCUAGCGAGACUGCCAGUGAUAAACUGGAGGAAGGUGGGGAUGACGUCAAAUCAUCAUGCCCCUUAUGACCUGGGCUACAAACGUGAUACAAUGGCUGAAACAAAGGGCAGCGAAGCAGUGAUGUGAAGCGAAACCCAAAAAAGCAGUCUCAGUUCGGAUUGAAGUCUGCAACUCGACUUCAUGAAGUCGGAAUCGCUAGUAAUCGCGAAUCAGAACGUCGCGGUGAAUACGUUCUCGGGGUUU
This 384-nucleotide ribosomal RNA is filed under the name uncultured Acholeplasma sp. Its description in RNAcentral is "bacterial SSU rRNA". It matches the Rfam family "Bacterial small subunit ribosomal RNA", at positions 993 to 1382 of the family's 1533-position model. Lineage: Bacteria; Bacillati; Mycoplasmatota; Mollicutes; Acholeplasmatales; Acholeplasmataceae. The record is from RNAcentral.